RNAcentral lists this non-coding RNA (554 nucleotides) under Staphylococcus capitis. RNAcentral describes it as "RNAIII". It matches the Rfam family "RNAIII". Rfam says of the family: This family represents RNAIII which is known to regulate the expression of many Staphylococcus aureus genes encoding exoproteins and cell wall associated proteins. Lineage: Bacteria; Bacillati; Bacillota; Bacilli; Caryophanales; Staphylococcaceae. The record is from RNAcentral.
GACUCAUAUCACAGAGAUGUGAUAGAAAGAUAGUUGAAAAAUUUGCUUAAUCUUAAUUGAAUGAUUCUUCCCAAAUCAUUCAAAUCCAUUAUUUAGUUGGAAGGAGUGAAGUGUAAUGGCUGCAGAUAUCGUAUCUACAAUCAGUGAUUUCAUUAAAUGGAUCAUUGAUACAAUUAAAAAAUUCAAAAAAUAAGUUUUGAAUUCUUUCAUUGUAACUUUGUUUUCUUCGUAUAGUAUGACUAAGUAAUGGGUUGUUAAGCCAUCCCAACUUAAUAACCCAAAGUUAAUAGCAAGUGAGCAGCAUUUGCUAUAAAGCUGUAGUUUCCUUGGACUCAGUGUUACGUAUUAUUCUUAGCUACCUUUAAUUAGGUAAUUAUUUCUAGCAUGUAAGCUAUCGUAAACAACAUUCAAUUUAUCAUUAAUAAAAUAGAUAAAUUCACUAAAAUUUUUUCAUAAUUAAUAACAUCCCCAAAAAAUAGAUUGAAAAAAUAACUGUAAAAACAUUCCCUUAAUAAUAAGUUAUCAAAGCCGUGAGUCCCUCCCAAGCUCACGGC